GAUGAACGCUGGCGGCGUGCCUAAUACAUGCAAGUCGAGCGAACAGACGAGGAGCUUACUCCUCUGACGUUAGCGGCGGACGGGUGAGUAACACGUGGAUAACCUACCUAUAAGACUGGGAUAACUUCGGGAAACCGGAGCUAAUACCGGAUAACAUGUUGAACCGCAUGGUUCAACAGUGAAAGACGGUCUUGCUGUCACUUAUAGAUGGAUCCGCGUCGCAUUAGCUAGUUGGUAAGGUAACGGCUUACCAAGGCAACGAUGCGUAGCCGACCUGAGAGGGUGAUCGGCCACACUGGAACUGAGACACGGUCCAGACUCCUACGGGAGGCAGCAGUAGGGAAUCUUCCGCAAUGGGCGAAAGCCUGACGGAGCAACGCCGCGUGAGUGAAGAAGGUCUUCGGAUCGUAAAACUCUGUUAUUAGGGAAGAACAAAUGUGUAAGUAACUAUGCACGUCUUGACGGUACCUAAUCAGAAAGCCACGGCUAACUACGUGCCAGCAGCCGCGGUAAUACGUAGGUGGCAAGCGUUAUCCGGAAUUAUUGGGCGUAAAGCGCGCGUAGGCGGUUUUUUAAGUCUGAUGUGAAAGCCCACGGCUCAACCGUGGAGGGUCAUUGGAAACUGGAAAACUUGAGUGCAGAAGAGGAAAGUGGAAUUCCAUGUGUAGCGGUGAAAUGCGCAGAGAUAUGGAGGAACACCAGUGGCGAAGGCGACUUUCUGGUCUGUAACUGACGCUGAUGUGCGAAAGCGUGGGGAUCAAACAGGAUUAGAUACCCUGGUAGUCCACGCCGUAAACGAUGAGUGCUAAGUGUUAGGGGGUUUCCGCCCCUUAGUGCUGCAGCUAACGCAUUAAGCACUCCGCCUGGGGAGUACGACCGCAAGGUUGAAACUCAAAGGAAUUGACGGGGACCCGCACAGGCGGUGGAGCAUGUGGUUUAAUUCGAAGCAACGCGAAGAACCUUACCAAAUCUUGACAUCCUCUGACCCCUCUAGAGAUAGAGUUUUCCCCUUCGGGGGACAGAGUGACAGGUGGUGCAUGGUUGUCGUCAGCUCGUGUCGUGAGAUGUUGGGUUAAGUCCCGCAACGAGCGCAACCCUUAAGCUUAGUUGCCAUCAUUAAGUUGGGCACUCUAAGUUGACUGCCGGUGACAAACCGGAGGAAGGUGGGGAUGACGUCAAAUCAUCAUGCCCCUUAUGAUUUGGGCUACACACGUGCUACAAUGGACAAUACAAAGGGUAGCGAAACCGCGAGGUCAAGCAAAUCCCAUAAAGUUGUUCUCAGUUCGGAUUGUAGUCUGCAACUCGACUACAUGAAGCUGGAAUCGCUAGUAAUCGUAGAUCAGCAUGCUACGGUGAAUACGUUCCCGGGUCU
This 1372-nucleotide ribosomal RNA is filed under the name uncultured bacterium. RNAcentral's name for it is "bacterial SSU rRNA". It matches the Rfam family "Bacterial small subunit ribosomal RNA", at positions 28 to 1381 of the family's 1533-position model. The record is from RNAcentral.